UGGGGAAUAUUGGGCAAUGGGGGCAACCCUGACCCAGCGACGCCGCGUGAGGGAAGAAGGCCUUAGGGUCGUAAACCUCUGUUGUGUGGGAAGAAGGAAGUGACGGUACCACACGAGGAAGUCCCGGCUAACUACGUGCCAGCAGCCGCGGUAAUACGUAGGGGACGAACGUUGUCCGGAAUUACUGGGCGUAAAGGGCGCGUAGGCGGUCAUUUAAGUCAGCUGUGAAAUAGUCCGGCUCAACCGGAUCAUGCGGUUGAAACUGGAUGACUGGAGUGCUGGAGAGGCAAGUGGAAUUCCCAGUGUAGCGGUGAAAUGCGUAGAUAUUGGGAAGAACACCGGUGGCGAAGGCGACUGCUGGCCAGCAACUGACGCUGAGGCGCGAAAGCCAGGGGAGCAAACGG
Molecule: ribosomal RNA, 404 nt
Filed under: uncultured bacterium
Lineage: Bacteria
Description: bacterial SSU rRNA
Rfam family: Bacterial small subunit ribosomal RNA
Source: RNAcentral